AUUGAACGCUGGCGGCAUGCCUAACACAUGCAAGUCGAACGGCAGCACAGUGGAGCUUGCUCCAUGGGUGGCGAGUGGCGGACGGGUGAGUAAUGCAUCGGGACCUACCUAGACGUGGGGGAUAACGUAGGGAAACUUACGCUAAUACCGCAUACGUCCUACGGGAGAAAGCAGGGGACCUUCGGGCCUUGCGCGGUUAGACGGACCGAUGUUCGAUUAGCUUGUUGGUGAGGUAAUGGCUCACCAAGGCGACGAUCGAUAGCUGGUCUGAGAGGAUGAUCAGCCACACUGGAACUGAGACACGGUCCAGACUCCUACGGGAGGCAGCAGUGGGGAAUAUUGGACAAUGGGCGCAAGCCUGAUCCAGCAAUGCCGCGUGUGUGAAGAAGGCCUUCGGGUUGUAAAGCACUUUUAUCGGGAGCGAAAUACCAUUGGUUAAUAACCGGUGGGGCUGACGGUACCCGAGGAAUAAGCACCGGCUAACUUCGUG
Molecule: ribosomal RNA, 490 nt
Filed under: uncultured bacterium
Lineage: Bacteria
Description: bacterial SSU rRNA
Rfam family: Bacterial small subunit ribosomal RNA
Source: RNAcentral